RNAcentral lists this ribosomal RNA (492 nucleotides) under uncultured bacterium. Its description in RNAcentral is "partial 16S ribosomal RNA". It matches the Rfam family "Bacterial small subunit ribosomal RNA", at positions 29 to 507 of the family's 1533-position model. The record is from RNAcentral.
AGUGAACGCUGGCGGUAGGCCUAACACAUGCAAGUCGAACGGCAGCACAGUAAGAGCUUGCUCUUACGGGUGGCGAGUGGCGGACGGGUGAGGAAUACAUCGGAGUCUACUUUUUCGUGGGGGAUAACGUAGGGAAACUUACGCUAAUACCGCAUACGACCUACGGGUGAAAGCAGGGGAUCUUCGGACCUUGCGCGAUUGAAUGAGCCGAUGUCGGAUUAGCUAGUUGGCGGGGUAAAGGCCCACCGAGGCGACGAUCCGUAGCUGGUCUGAGAGGAUGAUCAGCCACACUGGAACUGAGACACGGUCCAGACUCCUACGGGAGGCAGCAGUGGGGAAUAUUGGACAAUGGGCGCAAGCCUGAUCCAGCCAUACCGCGUGGGUGAAGAAGGCCUUCGGGUUGUAAAGCCCUUUUGUUGGGAAAGAAAAGCAGCAGGUUAAUACCCCGCUGUUCUGACGGUACCCAAAGAAUAAGCACCGGCUAACUUCGUG